Molecule: ribosomal RNA, 253 nt
Filed under: uncultured bacterium
Lineage: Bacteria
Description: partial 16S ribosomal RNA
Rfam family: Bacterial small subunit ribosomal RNA
Source: RNAcentral
UACGGAGGGUGCUAGCGUUGUUCGGAAUCACUGGGCGUAAAGGGCGCGUAGGCGGCUUGGCAAGUGGAAGGUGAAAUCCCUCGGCUUAACCGAGGAACUGCCCUCCAAACUGCUUCGCUUGAGACCGGGAGAGGUGAGUGGAAUUCCCAGUGUAGCGGUGAAAUGCGUAGAUAUUGGGAGGAACACCAGUGGCGAAGGCGGCUCACUGGACCGGUACUGACGCUGAUGCGCGAAAGCGUGGGGAGCAAACGGG